This 536-nucleotide ribosomal RNA is filed under the name uncultured bacterium. Its description in RNAcentral is "bacterial SSU rRNA". It matches the Rfam family "Bacterial small subunit ribosomal RNA", at positions 352 to 873 of the family's 1533-position model. The record is from RNAcentral.
CAGUGAGGAAUAUUUGACAGUGGGAGCAAUCGUGCUCCAUCCAUCCCGCGCGCAGGAAGACUGCCCUACGGAUUGUAAACUGCUUUUAUACAGGAAGAAAGACACACACGUGUGCGUUGUUGACGGUACUGUAAGAAUGAGUAUGGGUUAACUCCGUCCCAGCAGGCGCGGUAAUUCAGAGGAUGCGAGCGUUCUCCGGAAUCAUUGGGUUUAAAGGGUCCGUAGGCGGGAUAAUAAGUCAGUGGUGAAAGUAUGUGGCUCAACCAUAAAAUUGCCAGCGAUAGUGUUUUUCUUGAGUGAUUGAGAAGUGGUUAGAAUGAAUAGUGUAGCGGUGAAAUGCAUAGAUAUUUCUCAGAAUGCCGAUCGAGAGGGCAGAUCGCUCACAAUUCACUGACGGUGAUGGACGAAAGCGUGGGUAGCGAACAGGCUUAGAUACCUCUGCUUGUUUGCGCCGUCAGAGAUGGAUACUAGCUGUUCGGCACAAUUGAGGUCUGAGUGGCUAGCGAAAGUGAUAAGUACCCACUGGCUCUGCGUGG